Long non-coding RNA from Gouania willdenowi (blunt-snouted clingfish), 4128 nucleotides. Ensembl annotates it as netrin receptor UNC5C-like. The record is from Ensembl. Lineage: Eukaryota; Metazoa; Chordata; Actinopteri; Blenniiformes; Gobiesocidae.
AGCCCGUGGAGACUGCUCCAUCCCCGGCUCACACACUCCUCCACACGGCUCACACUGCUGAGGAGGCUGGACAGAGAGGGGACCCCGCUGGAGGACUUCGAGCAUGAAUCUACCAUCAAGGCAUCGAUCCACACCUUUAAACCAACCCAGAGGAAAACAAACGGAGAGCGCUUUUAACACCACAUCUGUUUGUUUGUUUGUUCCAUCGUUAGAAGCGAUGCACCUAGAAAUCACUCUAUAAACUGUCACAUGUUGGUGAAAUCUCAGCGCUGCUGGAUCCUUGGUUUUUUAUCUCUCUCUCUGAGCUGAUUUUUUUAUUUUUAUUUGGAACACCGCAGUGACCGAGCUUUUCCAGACGUUUUUUUUAAAAAAAAUUUUCUCCCAUAAAGACUUUACACUUGCAGUCAUGAUCCGGAGCGCUCGGAGUGACAGAGAGGGGAGAAGAGCCAGACUGUGCCCGGAGAUGCUCACCCUGUCCGGGCUGCUGCUCUGGCUGCUGCUGCUGGAUGUCGGCGGAGCUCAAGUUGAUGAUGACUUCAUUGGUCUGGGUGAAUUGCCAGAAACAUUUCCUUCGGAUCCCCCAGAGCCACUUCCAGUGUUUUUGAUGGAACCGGAGGAAGCCUACAUAGUCAAGAAUAAGCCAGUCAACCUGUACUGCAAAGCCACACCUGCCACUCAGAUCUACUUCAAGUGCAACAGUGAAUGGGUUCACCAGAAGGAGCACACCGUGGAAGAGAGGGUCGACGAGAACUCUGGGCUCGUGGUGAGAGAGGCCAGCAUUGAAAUCACUCGUCAGCAGGUGGAGGAGCUGUUUGGGCCGGAGGACUUCUGGUGUCAGUGUGUGGCCUGGAGCUCCGCUGGGACCACCAAGAGCCGUAAAGCUCAUGUUCGCAUUGCCUAUUUGAGGAAGACUUUUGACCAAGAACCUCUGGGAAAGGAGGUUUCACUCGAACAGGAAGUGUUGCUGCAGUGUCGCCCACCUGAAGGCAUCCCAGCUGCUGAGGUGGAGUGGCUGAAAAAUGAGGAAGUUAUCGAUCCUGCUGAUGACAGAAACUUCUACAUCACCAUCGACCACAACCUGAUUAUCAAACAGGCCCGUCUCUCAGACACUGCCAACUAUACCUGUGUGGCUAAAAACAUCGUGGCAAAAAGAAGAAGCACAACCGCCACAGUCAUCGUAUACGUGAAUGGUGGAUGGUCAACCUGGACAGAGUGGUCAGUGUGUAACAGCCGCUGCGGCCGUGGUUACCAAAAGCGCACACGCAGCUGCACCAACCCGGCGCCUCUCAAUGGCGGAGCCAUCUGCGAAGGUCAAGGCAUCCAGAAGCUACCAUGUAAUCCUCUCUGCCCAGUGGAUGGCCUAUGGACAGAGUGGAGUAAGUGGUCCACCUGUGGGACAGAGUGCACCCACUGGAGGAGGAGAGAAUGCAGCGCCCCAGCUCCUAAAAAUGGGGGAAAGGACUGUGAGGGCCUGGUGCUGCAGUCCAAGAACUGCACCGAUGGGCUGUGCAUGCAGAUGGCCCCCAGCACGGAUGAUGUGGCUCUCUAUGUGGGUAUUGUCAUCGCCGUGAUCAUGUGUCUGGUUAUCUCCCUGGCCGUGGCGCUAUUCGUCUACAGGAAAAACCACAGAGACUUUAACUCUGACAUCAUCGACUCCUCCGCCCUCAAUGGAGGCUUUCAACCAGUCAGCAUCAAGACAGCACGCAAAGCGGAUCUCCUCACAGCACCCCCUGAUCUGACCUCAGCAGCUGCAAUGUACCGCGGCCCCGUUUACGCCCUUCACGACGUGGCUGACAAAAUCCCCAUGACCAACUCCCCUCUGCUGGACCCGCUUCCAAACUUGAAGAUUAAGGUGUACAACUCCUCAGGUUUGGUGACCCCACAGGAUGACCUGGGAGGGGAAUUAUCCUCUAAGCUGUCACCUAAACUGCCGCACUGCCUGCUGGAUCACAGUGACGGCACCAUGGGCCGCCGCACACAGACCCAGACACUGCUCCGUGGCAGGGACCCAUCCUGCACCGCUCUGGGCUCCUUCAGCUCCCAGGGGGGCCACCUCAUUGUACCCAACUCAGGUAACAUUUACUCAGGAUACUCUGUGAUGCAGAGUCCUCUCACAUUUCCAACAUUUUCUUCCUUCAAGUGUGGUACCUGUAAAAUGUUUGUGUGUGUGUGUGCGCAGCCUCCUCAUCGUGUUACACUGGCAGGUGGGAGAGCAGCGAUCGCAUUGAUAUUUGAUCCGUUUGUGUGUUUGAGUAAUGAAAUAUUUUGUGUCACUGGCUACAAAUAUUCCUAUGCUAGCCUUGUGAUGUUGGCUCAACGUUGGCUCAUUACACCUGGUGUCUUCUCUCAUUGGCAGGAUUCUCAGAACAUAGACACGUCUCUGUUGGACCCUGCCAGCAACAUCACGUCACUCGUGGGGCCAAACGCCUUCCGUAUCCCCGUCUCCAUCCGACAGAAGUUGUGUGGCAGCCUGGAUGCUCCGCAGACCAGAGGCAAUGACUGGAGGAUGUUAGCCCACAAACUGAACCUUGACAGGUAUCUGAACUACUUUGCUACCAAAUCCAGCCCUACAGGAGUGAUCCUAGACCUGUGGGAGGCUCAGCAUUUUCCUGACGGCAACCUCAGCCGCCUUGCCCAAGUGUUGGAGGAGAUGGGACGCCACGACGGCCUUCUUCCUGCCAUGAUGGAGCACUGACAUCUAACCCUCCAGGGGAUGUGACAUUCCAGGGAGGAAGAAGACUCCAAAUGGAUCGGAAAAUGGAGGCUCCUAUAAGCAGGAGAGUGGUGUGGCAUCUCAGUGACAAACACACACACACACACACACACUCAAAGAUGUGAGAUGACGGGAAGAGCCAUGACCCAGUUAGACACCGGCAACAAAUGGUGUAAAAACAACCUUGUGGAGUAAACAACAUUCCCUGGCUGUUCCCUUUUCUCUCAACACACGUCAAACAUUGACUUCAGAUUUUUUGGCUUGUUUUGAUGGACUCUCGGUAUAACAGGAGACAAAUGUCAGAGGUCCGAAAAAAAGUCAAAAGAUGAAGAUUUUGUCAGCGGGACCAUCUCUCAGGCUUCUAAACAGUUUCCAUAGCAACUCCCCAUGGACAAGGAUGUACUUUCUGAUAAGAUGGUAUUUAAUUUCCAGCUUAUUUAUGCAUAUCUGAUAUCGUAUUUCAUGCUCUCUGUUGCUGAACACUUUGCAGUGUAAAGGUUUGUGUUCCUUUUAUUAUGUUGAACUGUAUCACAGCACCACCUGGUGGCCUUCUGGUGCUAGAACAACUCAUUCUGUCUGCCACAUUUAGAAAAAAUCAACAAUCAAGUUAGAAUUUUAGUGUCAUUGCUGUUGAUGACAAUUUUAUAUUUGUGUUAUUGAAAUUAUUGAUGCUGUUAGGUGCAUUUCUUUUAUAUUGUUUUUUUUUUCUUUUUUAAAGGGUUAUUAAUUAUUUUUAACAUUCUGAAUUGUUGAUCAUGUUUCUUUAAUCUGUGACUUUGUAUUUCUUGGCAACUUACAUUUCUACGAUUUAUAGAGCAGUCAAAACAUUUCCCAAAACAUGCAGAUGACUUAACAUUCUGUUUAAAGAUGAUAUUACUCAUGCUAACUGUGCCAGGCAGACGAGGACACUUUAGAACAAGAUAUUUAAAAUAUAUUUUUAUAAAAAGAAACAAGUGCAAGAGAAAGCAACUGCUUUUUACCAAAUAAUUCACACGCAUACGAUGUUUUGAGGGUGAAUUCACGACAGAAAGGGUUCAUUUCCCAUUAGGAUCACUGAGAUUGUAACUCAGUGUUUCUGAUAAUGUUCAGGAUGUUUGUAGACUUAUAACAGCAGAAUGUGCGACUUUUCAAGUGUUCUUUGUUGGCCAUUAAACUUGAUUCAGUUUUCUAAGUUGUUAGAGUUCUUGUAAAGCUGUCUAUGCAAACUGUGCAUCCUUUGAAAACAAUCUUUUCACACUCGGCAAAUUCUCUAUGGUUCUUCUUCUGCUUUCUUAUUGUUGUGUAUAGUGAGAAUGUAGCCUGUCUGUUUCUGGCACUCAGCAUCUAUCCGUCAAGGUAUUGUACAAAGUGUAAGAAAGAUUUUUUUUUUUUUAAUUAUUAUUAUUAAUAAUAAUAAAUUAUAUUUAUAUGCAACA